RNAcentral lists this ribosomal RNA (322 nucleotides) under uncultured archaeon. Its description in RNAcentral is "bacterial SSU rRNA". It matches the Rfam family "Archaeal small subunit ribosomal RNA", at positions 428 to 748 of the family's 1478-position model. The record is from RNAcentral.
UUCUGGAAUAAGGGCUGGGCAAGACCGGUGCCAGCCGCCGCGGUAACACCGGCAGCUCAAGUGGUAGCCGCUUUUAUUGGGCCUAAAGCGUCCGUAGCCGGUCUGAUAAGUCUCUGGUGAAAUCCCACAGCUUAACUGUGGGAAUUGCUGGAGAUACUAUCAUGACUCGAGGUCGGGAGAGGCUGGAGGUACUCCCAGGGUAGGGGUGAAAUCCUGUAAUCCUGGGAGGACCACCUGUGGCGAAGGCGUCCAGCUGGAACGAACCUGACGGUGAGGGACGAAAGCCAGGGGCGCGAACCGGAUUAGAUACCCGUGUAGUCCC